RNAcentral lists this ribosomal RNA (410 nucleotides) under uncultured microorganism. RNAcentral describes it as "bacterial SSU rRNA". It matches the Rfam family "Bacterial small subunit ribosomal RNA", at positions 9 to 416 of the family's 1533-position model. The record is from RNAcentral.
GAGUUUGAUCGUGGCUCAGAUUGAACGCUGGCGGCAUGCCUUACACAUGCAAGUCGAACGGCAGCAUGAUCUAGCUUGCUAGAUUGAUGGCGAGUGGCGAACGGGUGAGUAAUACAUCGGAACGUGCCCUGUAGUGGGGGAUAACUAGUCGAAAGAUUAGCUAAUACCGCAUACGACCUGAGGGUGAAAGUGGGGGACCGCAAGGCCUCAUGCUAUAGGAGCGGCCGAUGUCUGAUUAGCUAGUUGGUGGGGUAAAGGCCCACCAAGGCGACGAUCAGUAGCUGGUCUGAGAGGACGAUCAGCCACACUGGGACUGAGACACGGCCCAGACUCCUACGGGAGGCAGCAGUGGGAAUUUUGGACAAUGGGCGAAAGCCUGAUCCAGCAAUGCCGCGUGUGUGAAGAAGGCC